Molecule: unclassified non-coding RNA, 2056 nt
Filed under: Hevea brasiliensis (rubber tree)
Lineage: Eukaryota; Viridiplantae; Streptophyta; Magnoliopsida; Malpighiales; Euphorbiaceae
Source: RNAcentral
UGCAGAGAAUGAAGUUCUGAUUAUUAAUGCAUAGCAAUUUCAAAGUCCAUCUUCACCAUUUCCCACACAAAAAAUUAUUGACCUUCAAUGUUUAAUAUUUAUUUUUUUGACCAAAGUUCAAUGUUUAACAAUAGAUAGAGGGCAUCACCGUCGCCAUCAACAAUAAUCAUAUGAUUCAAAAUAAGACUCUUAAGGACCAAAGUUCAAAGCUAAUACACCCAUUGAAUGGAAAAGCACGAAGAUGGAAUUUAAGCACUCAAUGCAGCGCCUGAGUUCUUCCUGCACUCGGACAGCAUGUCCAUGUAGAACUGGCACUUGCUGAUGUCGCUUCCAAAGUUGUUCACGCACUGCAAGAAAAACAAGUGCAAAUAAUGUCAUUGAAGAUUUCAAUAGUUAAGAUCAAACAAAAUAAUAAAUACAGAUCAAGUAAUUUAUACAAGACAAUUACUCUAACUCUGAGCAAGACAGAAGCAAAAUUCAAGAAUCAGUUUUAGAUUACUGAAUAUGCUUCUUUAGGAUCUAAUUCAAAUAAUUUGUGAAACAAUGAACAUAAAAUUCAUCCAAUUAUAACAGCAUUCGCAAGUAUGAAUAUUUAAAAAUAAAAUCAUGCAGAAAACAAGCAGAGAAGGUGAGGUUUCUAGAAUUGAACUGUCUUUUAGAGUUUGGGAUUAUUCUUUCACUUCUUACAAAUUUCACCUCGAAGCCAAAAGCUAGGUACUUAAAAAAAACACUUAUCCAUGUAUCUGGAAUCAAGUAACCAGAUGAGAAAAGUUUACAUCUUGGAAUGCCUUUGAGUGAAUACUGCAUGCAUCACCCCCCAUACUGCUUGCUGUGGGUGCUGGGGCAGUAGCAGCAGCCUCAGAGACCACAGUUUCAUGUUGAAUUGUGCGAGGACCCAACACAGCAUCUACAGCUCUGUGUGCCACAGCACUUCCAGUUCCAAAAGCCAUACCCUGAGCUAUGGUUGAACCAAUGCCUCCAAGCAAUGAUCCACCACCACCACUCUGGACAGGAGCUGGAGGAGGAGCAUGGUUAACUGGUUGGGGUGGUGGGCUGCGUGCUGGUGCAGGGCGAGCAGCAGCCCGAGGAGCAGGUCUUCCUGCAAUAGAAGUUGAGCCAUAAUUAUCAACAACUCUUUAAGAGAGAAUUCAUCAAAAGAACAUAACACAAAAGAAUUACAUAAGAGUAGAAAUUGAUUACACACAUUAAACCAUCAACACUCUAGUAUGAAACAACAAUUCAAAGCAAAUUCCUAAGACACCAUGCAUCUUCAAGGUUCAAGUACCAGUUACAACAUAGCCAACAAGUACUUAAUGAGAAGUUUUACAGUACUUGCAAAGCUUACAAGAAGGAAAAGGGCUGCUCGGAUGAUCUGGAAGAGUUGAACUGUUAAGCUACAUAGAAUCCAGUACAAUGUGAAUACUCAUCGAGGUAUAAGAUCCAUACCCAUAUCAUAUAUGAUGUGAGUAUUUAGGUAAAAAAUCCAGACCCAAAAACCUUAAUUUCGGAGAAUUCCCGAAUACCUAAGUGCCAAGGUCUGCUUCACUUGCAAGAGCAACUCAUUAAAGUUUGUAUCAACUCAAACUAUUCAAAACGCCCAUCAUAACAUAAUUAAGAAAAACAUAUUGAAAAUACUAAUCUUGUUAAACAUCAUGACUAAUGAGCCUGAGAAGCAUCCAAAUUCAAGCUAAUCCCAUAUGAAAUGCAUGUAUUAAAAGCAUAUAAAUUUUACCGAAAGCCUACAUGUGAUCCACCAAGCAUAGCCAAAAUAUGACCACAGAACAAAAACAAUACAUCUAACUAUCAACUUAGUUGGAUUAAACAAAGAUUUGAACAUUGCACUGCAAAUUUUCUUUAUACACUCAAAUCUAUAAAAGUAAAGCCAAAUAUUUAUGUACUAAACAGAUAUGCAAAAACCAGGAGAAUUUGUUAUACCAAGAAAUCCAAUACCAAAUCACCAAAUCAUAUUAAGCAAACACAAAUAUCAAAACCAAUAGCAUGCAUAAAUUUUCACAACCAUUUCGUUCAAGAAACAAAAAAAAAAAGAGCAGCAAAA